Molecule: ribosomal RNA, 253 nt
Filed under: uncultured bacterium
Lineage: Bacteria
Description: partial 16S ribosomal RNA
Rfam family: Bacterial small subunit ribosomal RNA
Source: RNAcentral
UACAGAGGUCUCAAGCGUUGUUCGGAUUCAUUGGGCGUAAAGGGUGCGUAGGCGGCGCGGUAAGUCGGGUGUGAAAUCUCGGGGCUUAACUCCGAAACUGCAUUCGAUACUGCCGUGCUUGAGGACUGGAGAGGAGACUGGAAUUUACGGUGUAGCAGUGAAAUGCGUAGAGAUCGUAAGGAAGACCAGUGGCGAAGGCGGGUCUCUGGACAGUUCCUGACACUGAGGCACGAAGGCCAGGGGAGCAAACGGG